Molecule: long non-coding RNA, 679 nt
Organism: Mytilus californianus (California mussel)
Lineage: Eukaryota; Metazoa; Mollusca; Bivalvia; Mytilida; Mytilidae
Exons: 3
Source: RefSeq, a predicted model, not a curated record
AUUUUUCUGUAUAAAAAUGAUGAAGACAAUUUAAUCAACCUUGUAUUACUAGUAUUUUGAACUGAGAAGACAAAAUAAAAGGAAACUUGAGAUUAAGAUGAAAACAGAUUAUAUUCUAUUUAUAGUGGCAACCUCAUGUUUGUGUCUUGCACAUGGAUGGGUCAAAGAUGUUGAAGCUGUCAACGCUGUAAAAAGGUCCCCUGAUAAAGUGGAGAAAUUGACAUCGCCAAUUGAUAUAUAUCAACUAUUGCUAUGGUCCCUCAACAAAUUUCAAAAUUACACCGACAACUACAGUGAAAAUGAAACAGAAGAUGAAAGACAAAUCAAACGUACAGUGAAUAGCAAGUUGUCACGUGACUUCCUCAGAAGGAGAAGAAUGAGAGGUAAUGGUUUCCGAAUGACUAAUAGCAAUGCGAUGGAUCCGUUAGCCAGUGGAUUGAUUGGUUAGAGCACUCACAAAGUGUCAGAACAGUUGUUGCAUUCCCUGCCUUCAGUUGUUUAUAGCAUUUACACUAUGCCAAUUAUCUUUGAAACAUCUUACAAAAUGUAAUGCAUAAUACUGUAUCUAAAUUUUAGAAUUUCUUGUACAGCCUCCUAUGGUUGAUUUAUCAAAACAUAUGUUCAUAUUCUUGAAAUAGCCAACUGUUCCCCAUCAAUGACUGAAUAAAUAUUUGAAGAA